CCUACGGGAGGCAGCAGUAGGGAAUCUUCCGCAAUGGACGAAAGUCUGACGGAGCAACGCCGCGUGAACGAUGAAGGCCUUCGGGUCGUAAAGUUCUGUUGUCAGGGAAGAACAAGUACCGGAGUAACUGCCGGUACCUUGACGGUACCUGACCAGAAAGCCACGGCUAACUACGUGCCAGCAGCCGCGGUAAUACGUAGGUGGCAAGCGUUGUCCGGAAUUAUUGGGCGUAAAGCGCGCGCAGGCGGUUCCUUAAGUCUGAUGUGAAAGCCCCCGGCUCAACCGGGGAGGGUCAUUGGAAACUGGGAAACUUGAGUGCAGAAGAGGAAAGUGGAAUUCCAAGUGUAGCGGUGAAAUGCGUAGAGAUUUGGAGGAACACCAGUGGCGAAGGCGACUUUCUGGUCUGUAACUGACGCUGAGGCGCGAAAGCGUGGGGAGCAAACAGGAUUAGAUACCCUGGUAGUCCACGCUGUAAACGAUGAGUGCUAAGUGUUAGAGGGUUUCCGCCCUUUAGUGCUGAAGUUAACGCAUUAAGCACUCCGCCUGGGGAGUACGGUCGCAAGACUGAAACUCAAAGGAAUUGACGG
This 587-nucleotide ribosomal RNA is filed under the name uncultured bacterium. RNAcentral describes it as "bacterial SSU rRNA". It matches the Rfam family "Bacterial small subunit ribosomal RNA", at positions 338 to 916 of the family's 1533-position model. The record is from RNAcentral.